UGUUCUAAUUUGUCUUCGAAUCGCAGAUUUUGUCGCUCUCGCGAUCGUCAUACAUUAAACAACAUUGAGUGAAUAUGUUCAUAUGAAAUACUUCAUGUUUCAGGACUAAAUUCACCAGCAUUCAUGAUCCUCGGACCACCCGCCCCCUACGCACAGCCGAUUUAUAAAUGUUGCAUCUUUCAAUCAGUGUCAAUCCCAAGAAGAACCCUGAUCAGCUCCUGGAAAAAUCAGUGUUCUUGCAGUAUUGUCAGUCAAAUCUCAAGGAAAGGAUCCCAGAAGAGGAACAUUUACAUUAUUUCAGACUUUUUUCUUUCCUGUGUAACAAUGCCUCAAACAGCUAACACAUUUUAUAUAGUAUACAAUACAAUGUGUAUUAAUAACAGUCCAGUUAGAGUGCUGUGUUAUGCAGUAAAAAUACUUAAUUCUUGAUGACAUGUUGGUUUUAUGUUUACAUUAAACGGUAGUUAUAAUAUAUACUAAAGAAACAUAGUGGAUAAUGCCUUGUACAGGAGCAGGAGUAUGACAGUGUAAUAGUACAUGACUGCUGCGUUCAUCCAUGGAAGGAAUCUGUUAUUCGAAAUAAAGCUUUCCAUGAGGACGAAAAA
Molecule: long non-coding RNA, 605 nt
Organism: Pecten maximus
Lineage: Eukaryota; Metazoa; Mollusca; Bivalvia; Pectinida; Pectinidae
Exons: 2
Source: RefSeq, a predicted model, not a curated record